CGGGGGGGGGCUAAACAUGCAAGUCGAGCGGUAGCACAGAGAGCUUGCUCUCGGGUGACGAGCGGCGGACGGGUGAGUAAUGUCUGGGAAACUGCCUGAUGGAGGGGGAUAACUACUGGAAACGGUAGCUAAUACCGCAUAAUGUCGCAAGACCAAAGUGGGGGACCUUCGGGCCUCAUGCCAUCAGAUGUGCCCAGAUGGGAUUAGCUAGUAGGUGGGGUAACGGCUCACCUAGGCGACGAUCCCUAGCUGGUCUGAGAGGAUGACCAGCCACACUGGAACUGAGACACGGUCCAGACUCCUACGGGAGGCAGCAGUGGGGAAUAUUGCACAAUGGGCGCAAGCCUGAUGCAGCCAUGCCGCGUGUGUGAAGAAGGCCUUCGGGUUGUAAAGCACUUUCAGCGGGGAGGAAGGCGUUAAGGUUAAUAACCUUGUCGAUUGACGUUACCCGCAGAAGAAGCACCGGCUAACUCCGUGCCAGCAGCCGCGGUAAUACGGAGGGUGCAAGCGUUAAUCGGAAUUACUGGGCGUAAAGCGCACGCAGGCGGUCUGUCAAGUCGGAUGUGAAAUCCCCGGGCUCAACCUGGGAACUGCAUUCGAAACUGGCAGGCUAGAGUCUUGUAGAGGGGGGUAGAAUUCCAGGUGUAGCGGUGAAAUGCGUAGAGAUCUGGAGGAAUACCGGUGGCGAAGGCGGCCCCCUGGACAAAGACUGACGCUCAGGUGCGAAAGCGUGGGGAGCAAACAGGAUUAGAUACCCUGGUAGUCCACGCCGUAAACGAUGUCGAUUUGGAGGUUGUGCCCUUGAGGCGUGGCUUCCGGAGCUAACGCGUUAAAUCGACCGCCUGGGGAGUACGGCCGCAAGGUUAAAACUCAAAUGAAUUGACGGGGGCCCGCACAAGCGGUGGAGCAUGUGGUUUAAUUCGAUGCAACGCGAAGAACCUUACCUGGUCUUGACAUCCACAGAACUUACCAGAGAUGCAUUGGUGCCUUCGGGAACUGUGAGACAGGUGCUGCAUGGCUGUCGUCAGCUCGUGUUGUGAAAUGUUGGGUUAAGUCCCGCAACGAGCGCAACCCUUAUCCUUUGUUGCCAGCGGUUCAGGCCGGGAACCCAAAGGAGACUGCCAGUGAUAAACUGGAGGAAGUUGGG
RNAcentral lists this ribosomal RNA (1147 nucleotides) under Klebsiella pneumoniae. RNAcentral describes it as "bacterial SSU rRNA". It matches the Rfam family "Bacterial small subunit ribosomal RNA", at positions 40 to 1177 of the family's 1533-position model. Lineage: Bacteria; Pseudomonadati; Pseudomonadota; Gammaproteobacteria; Enterobacterales; Enterobacteriaceae. The record is from RNAcentral.